UAUUUUUUCAUAUUUUCCUUUUUUUUAUUUUAAUAUUUAUUUGUUUUCAGUCGGAAAAGACUUUUGAAGAUCAAUUCUGAAAAUCCAUCAAUGCGACCAGUUUUGCAAGAAGAAGUUGCCGAGGAGAGUAUACACUGAGAUCGAUCGAGGUACAUAAGAACCAGUUCAAGGUCGAAGAAUCAUAAAUAUUAUGCAUUUCACUUAAAUAAUAUAGCAACAAUUGCCCAUGGUGUGGAAAAUGAACACAUAGCCAUUAAACAGCUUACAUUACAAGAAAAAGUCGUUAUUGACCCUUGUGGUCUAUUCGUGGACCAUGAUUAUCCUUUUAUUGGAGCUACACCCGAUACAUUAAUAGGAGAUAACACAAUUGUGGAAAUAAAAUGUCCGAUAGUGGCCUUCAAGAAUGGGCUUGAAGAAUCCAUUCAACAAAAUAAGAUACAAAUAUGGAAUUACAAUAAGAAAACUAAACGUAUUACUAUAAAUAAGAAUAGUAACUGGUAUUAUCAGAUACAAGGGCUGUUACACGUUUCACGAAGAGCAAAGUGUUUAUUUGGAAUAUGGAGUGGUGAAAAUAAGCCUCUCAAAACAGUAACGAUCUUAAGAGAUGAUGAUUGAUGAGAUGAUUUCUGGGAGAAAAAAAUGAAAGAAAAACUUCUCAAUUUUUAUAUGGAUUGGCUAUUUUCAAUCAGAAUUGGUUGAUUCACGAAGAGCGCGUGUAUGCCACUCAGAGAAGAAAAUCCUCCUCCUCCUAAUUCACCCUGUGAUAAAAAAGAAAAUUACCCUUGUAACAGCAGACUGCUAAGUUUUAACGAAUUUUAAUACUACUGGAAAGCGUAAUAAUGGACGAGAGAUAUAAUUGAAUGUAUUGUAUUUGUCUUUAUUUA
Long non-coding RNA from Bicyclus anynana (squinting bush brown), 884 nucleotides. RefSeq lists it as uncharacterized. The transcript has 2 exons. The record is from RefSeq and is a predicted model, not a curated record. NCBI's taxonomy places the organism in Eukaryota, Metazoa, Arthropoda, Insecta, Lepidoptera, Nymphalidae.